Molecule: unclassified non-coding RNA, 240 nt
Filed under: soil metagenome
Description: partial contains 5.8S ribosomal RNA, internal transcribed spacer 2, and large subunit ribosomal RNA
Source: RNAcentral
AAGACUAUAGACCUGCGGAGUACCUGCGGAAGGAUCAUUAAAGAGAAAACUGCCCUUUGGGUAGAUCUCCCACCCUUUGUUUACCUUACCUUUGUUGCUUUGGCAGGCCCGUCUUCUGACCACCGGCUUUAGCUGGUCCGUGCCUGCCAGAGGACCCCAAACUCUUAAUUUUAAGUUGUCCGAGUCUUAUAAAAUAGUAAAAACUUUUAACAAUGGAUCUCUAGAUCGGAAGAGCACACG